UCUAACAGGGCGUUGACCAUCAGGGUUU
Molecule: small RNA, 28 nt
Filed under: Bombyx mori (domestic silkworm)
Lineage: Eukaryota; Metazoa; Arthropoda; Insecta; Lepidoptera; Bombycidae
Description: ovarian small RNA-29397
Source: RNAcentral